This 539-nucleotide transfer RNA is filed under the name uncultured cyanobacterium. RNAcentral's name for it is "partial miscellaneous RNA". The stretch from base 211 to 283 matches the Rfam family "tRNA". Lineage: Bacteria; Bacillati; Cyanobacteriota. The record is from RNAcentral.
CAGGGAGACAACAAAAUGUUUGAUAUUAUUAUUUUGUCACCUUAGGUCGAUCGGUAUCUCACGUUCUUAAUUUAUUAAGAAUUUCAUUUCCUAAGUUUUUCUAGGUCACACCCAUUAUUUUCCUGGGCCAUUAGCUCAGGUGGUUAGAGCGCACCCCUGAUAAGGGUGAGGUCCCUGGUUCAAGUCCAGGAUGGCCCAUAUCUCUAUGUUGGGGGUAUAGCUCAGUUGGUAGAGCGCCUGCUUUGCAAGCAGGAUGUCAGCGGUUCGAGUCCGCUUACCUCCACUGAUUACCACCUCUACCAUAAUCUGUAGAAGGGAAAUGCAUUGAGUUGUGAUCAAAUUCUGAACGAAUCUAGCUUCCUAAUGAAUCAUUAAGAUGCUGGACUCAUUGAAUUAAUUUCAUUGUUUUCAGAGAACCUUGACAACUGCAUAGAUUAUUUUUAAAGACAAUAAGCAUCUUUUAAUGAUGCAGAUUUAUUAUUUGUGCGAAUGCAUUAAUAACAAUUCUAUUAAGCUGAUGCUUCAAUUUUGAAGUUAUU